RNAcentral lists this ribosomal RNA (496 nucleotides) under uncultured bacterium. RNAcentral's name for it is "partial 16S ribosomal RNA". It matches the Rfam family "Bacterial small subunit ribosomal RNA", at positions 29 to 507 of the family's 1533-position model. The record is from RNAcentral.
ACGAACGCUGGCGGCGUGCUUAAUCCAUGCAAGUAGAACGCUGAAGAGAGGAGCUUGCUCUUCUUGGAUGAGUUGCGAACGGGUGAGUAACGCGUAGGUAACCUGCCUUGUAGCGGGGGAUAACUAUUGGAAACGAUAGCUAAUACCGCAUAACAAUGGAUGACACAUGUCAUUUAUUUGAAAGGGGCAAUUGCUCCACUACAAGAUGGACCUGCGUUGUAUUAGCUAGUAGGUGAGGUAAUGGCUCACCUAGGCGACGAUACAUAGCCGACCUGAGAGGGUGAUCGGCCACACUGGGACUGAGACACGGCCCAGACUCCUACGGGAGGCAGCAGUAGGGAAUCUUCGGCAAUGGGGGCAACCCUGACCGAGCAACGCCGCGUGAGUGAAGAAGGUUUUCGGAUCGUAAAGCUCUGUUGUAAGUCAAGAACGGGUGUGAGAGUGGAAAGUUCACACUGUGACGGUAGCUUACCAGAAAGGGACGGCUAACUACGUG